Molecule: long non-coding RNA, 648 nt
Filed under: Homo sapiens (human)
Lineage: Eukaryota; Metazoa; Chordata; Mammalia; Primates; Hominidae
Description: non-protein coding lnc-AGT-2:1
Source: RNAcentral
GGCAAUAGCAAGCAGUUUCAGUGGAUGAAUACAUAGCUCAAAAGGGGCAUGUAGGAUGCGAUUGAUGUCUAAUUUUAAUGCCUAUCUGGGCCUAAUAAUUUGAAAAGGCUCACAUCCCUCAGAUAAAAGUUAUUUUCUUUCUUCAACAGCUGUGGGCACUGUUGGAGAAGUAUAAUGGAAAACAAAAUCUCCCAACCCAGAAAUCCUCUCUACAAAGGUAGCAAAGAAAGAAAACACUCUCAUUAUUGAGAAAAACAUUAAACCAGAAAGUGUUACACACCACAAGCAAUCUGCUAAGAGACAGCCAAGACAGAAAGGAAGCUCACCUGCUUAUGGAGCCAAGCAGACACAGCUCGUUCCACACACGUUUUCAAGACGGACAGUAACUGUUACCAACUGAGUCAGCUUUUCCCCUAAAGAUGGUAUCGUGAAGCCAAUACAUGAAACCCAAAGCGAGCCUCAAGCAGUGCGGACUUUAUUCAAUGGCCAAAGAAUGGAGAAGCAGGAGCAUGGCCGCAAGUCAACUUCUUGUCUAGUGAGAGCACCUGCCUGACUAAUACAUCAUGCUCUGCUGACUCCAUAUGUGGCUGGUUUCCUGGAUCCGAUUCUGACUGAUGGUAUCUGUUCUCACGCUGCUAAUAAAGACAU